UGGGGAAUAUUGGACAAUGGGCGCAAGCCUGAUCCAGCAACGCCGCGUGAAUGAAGAAGGCCUUAGGGUUGUAAAGUUCUUUUGGUGGGGAAGAUAAUGACUGUACCCACAGAAUAAGCCCCGGCUAACUUCGUGCCAGCAGCCGCGGUAAUACGAAGGGGGCUAGCGUUACUCGGAAUUAUUGGGCGUAAAGCGUGCGCAGGCGGUUUGGUAAGUUGGAAGUGAAAUCCUAGGGCUCAACCCUAGAACAGCUUCCAAUACUGCUUUACUAGAGUGUCGGAGGGGGUGACGGAAUUCCUAGUGUAGAGGUGAAAUUCGUAGAUAUUAGGAGGAACACCGGUGGCGAAAGCGGUCACCUGGCCGAACACUGACGCUGUUGCACGAAAGCGUGGGGAGCAAACAGG
This 404-nucleotide ribosomal RNA is filed under the name uncultured bacterium. RNAcentral's name for it is "bacterial SSU rRNA". It matches the Rfam family "Bacterial small subunit ribosomal RNA", at positions 355 to 776 of the family's 1533-position model. The record is from RNAcentral.